UAGCUGCCUCAGAAUGAGUCUAA
RNAcentral lists this microRNA (23 nucleotides) under Pristionchus pacificus. Its description in RNAcentral is "ppc-miR-8314-3p". The record is from miRBase by way of RNAcentral. Lineage: Eukaryota; Metazoa; Nematoda; Chromadorea; Rhabditida; Neodiplogasteridae.